AAUGAACGUUGGCGGCGUGGAUUAGGCAUGCAAGUCGAGCGAGAAGUCUUAGAUUGAAGCUUCGGCCGAUUUCUAAGAUGGACAGCGGCGAAAGGGAGAGUAACGCGUGGGUUAUCUACCUCCGGGUUCGGGAUAGCUGCGGGAAACUGCAGGUAAUACCGUAUAACGUCUUUGGACCAAAGGUGUGAUUCCGCCUGGAGAUGAGCCCGCGUCCUAUUAGCUUGUUGGUGAGGUAACGGCUCACCAAGGCUUCUAUGGGUACCGGGUGUGAGAGCAUGGCCCGGCUCACUGGGACUGAGACACUGCCCAGACACCUACGGGUGGCUGCAGUCGAGAAUCUUCGGCAAUGCGCGCAAGCGUGACCGAGCGACGCCGCGUGCGGGAUGAAGGCCUUCGGGUUGUAAACCGCUGUCAGUUGGGAGGAAAUCCAUAGGGGCUAUCCCCUAUGGUUGACCUAUCAUCAGAGGAAGGACGGGCUAAGUUCGUG
This 487-nucleotide ribosomal RNA is filed under the name uncultured bacterium. Its description in RNAcentral is "bacterial SSU rRNA". It matches the Rfam family "Bacterial small subunit ribosomal RNA", at positions 29 to 507 of the family's 1533-position model. The record is from RNAcentral.